Parus major (Great Tit) is the source of this 1177-nucleotide long non-coding RNA. RefSeq lists it as uncharacterized. Lineage: Eukaryota; Metazoa; Chordata; Aves; Passeriformes; Paridae. The record is from RefSeq and is a predicted model, not a curated record. The transcript is spliced from 3 exons.
CACAGAGACAUCAAAAGUGGAAACAUCCUUCUGGGCCUGGAUGGCUCUGUCAAGUUGGCUGAUUUUGGGUCUUGUGCUCUGCUCACCCCUGAGCAGAGUAAACGGAGGUCGAUGGUCGGGACCACUUGCUGGAUGGCACCUGAAGUGGUGAGGAGAGACCCAUACGGCCCCAAAGUUGACAUCUGGUCCCUUGGCAUCGUGGGAAUAGAAAUGGCCAAAGGAGAGGCUCCGUAUAUUUGGGAAAUCAGUUCCAAGGCUAACUAUCUGAUCAGCACCCAAGGAAUACCACAUCUGGAAGAGCUCAGCCUACACCCGGGUUUGAGUGAAUUUCUGGGCUGCUGCCUGCAGAUGGAUGUGGACAGGCGAGGCUCUGCCAAGGAACUUCUGAAGGUACAAUGCAGAGCGGCUGCAGGCCAAACAGCUGUUCCCUGGCAAACAGGGUUUGCUCCUUGGCCCAACUCUAAGGCAUCAGAUGGGUUGUCCCCCCCAUAGUAAUCUCCACUCUGGUUGCUUUUCAAAUGAAAACCAAGUAGGAUGCAAAACUGGUUGAGCUUAGAAGAGACCACUGAAGGACAUCUAGUCCAAACCCCCAGCCACUGGCAAGGACAUCUUCAAGUAGAUCAGGUUGCUCAGAGCCCCAGCCAAGCUGACCUUGAAUGUGUCCAGAGCCGGGGCACCUGCCAGCCCUCUGGGCAACCUGUGCCAGCAUUUCAGCACUCUCCUGCUAAAGAGUUUCUUCCUUAGAGCCAAUCUGAAUGGAAUUUAGUUUCAAACCUUUCCCCCCUUUUCUCUUGCAAUUGGCCCUACUAAUUAGAUGUGUCCCCAUCUUUCUUCAAAGACCCUUCAAUUACUGAACUUGUCUCCUCAGGGCUUGUCCUUCUCCAGGCCAAAGAAGCCCAGUUCUCACAGGUGUUGCUCAGAGGAGAGCUCCCAGCUUCUGGUCAUUUCUGAGGCCCUCUUUUGCUCUCAGCUGCUGUUUUCAGGUUUACCUGGUAGCGAAGGAGCUGAAGUAUCACAAUGCUGGGGACAGAGGCCCACAGUGGGGUUUGGAAAACACAAUGGAAGCAGUCCCUGCCGAGCGGUUCUAGGUUGAUCUGUGGGAAGGCAGGGGCUGUGGGAGGCUGACUGUGAGCCUCAGAGGGGACCCAGCUUGUCCCUCCUGCCCCGCUCUUAGAGG